Molecule: ribosomal RNA, 495 nt
Filed under: uncultured bacterium
Lineage: Bacteria
Description: partial 16S ribosomal RNA
Source: RNAcentral
GCCCGUAUUACCGCGGCGGCUGGCACGAAGUUAGCCGGGACUUAUUCUGCGGGUACCGUCAUUAUCGUCCCCGCCAAAAGAGCUUUACAACCCGAGGGCCUUCAUCCUGCACGCGGAAUGGCUGGAUCAGGCUUGCGCCCAUUGACCAAUAUUCCUCACUGCUGCCUCACGUAGGAGUCUGGUCCGUGUCUCAGUACCAGUGUGGGGGAUAACCCUCUCAGGACCCCUACCCAUCACUGUCUUGGUGAGCCGUUACCUCACCAACUAACUAAUGGGGCGCAUGCCCAUCCUUAACCGAUAAAUCUUUAAUUAUCAAAAGAUGCCUCUUAAUAAUACUAUGGAAUAUUAGCCCCGCUUUCGCGGGGUUAUGUCCCUGUUAAGGGUAGGUUGCAUACGUGUUACGCACCCGUGCGCCACUCGUCAGCAUGCAUUGCUGCACCUGUUACCGUUCGACUUGCAUGUAUUAAGCCUGCCGCUAGCGUUCAUCCUGAGCCA